Molecule: small nuclear RNA, 164 nt
Organism: Mastomys coucha (southern multimammate mouse)
Lineage: Eukaryota; Metazoa; Chordata; Mammalia; Rodentia; Muridae
Product: U1 spliceosomal RNA
Exons: 1
Source: RefSeq, a predicted model, not a curated record
AUACUUACCUGGCAGGGGAGAUUCCAUGAUCACAAAGGUGGUUUUCCAGGGCGAGACUUAUCCAUUGCACUCCGGAUGUACUGACCCCAGCGAUUUCCCCAAAUGCGGGGAAAUUCAACUGCAUAAUUUAUGGUAGUGUGGGACUGCAUUCGUGUUCUCCCCUU